AGAGUUUGAUCAUGGCUCAGAUUGAACGCUGGCGGCAUGCCUUACACAUGCAAGUCGAACGGUAACGCGGGGCAACCUGGCGACGAGUGGCGAACGGGUGAGUAAUGCAUCGGAACGUGCCCAGUAGUGGGGGAUAGCCCGGCGAAAGCCGGAUUAAUACCGCAUACGACCUACGGGUGAAAGCGGGGGACCGCAAGGCCUCGCGCUAUUGGAGCGGCCGAUGUCAGAUUAGGUUGUUGGUGGGGUAAAGGCCUACCAAGCCGACGACCUGUAGCUGGUCUGAGAGGACGACCAGCCACACUGGGACUGAGACACGGCCCAGACUCCUACGGGAGGCAGCAGUGGGGAAUUGUUCGCAAUGGGCGCAAGCCUGACGACGCAACGCCGCGUGGAGGAUGAAGAUCUUCGGGUCGUAAACUCCUGUCGAAUGGGACGAAUGGCUCGGUCGUGAAUAACGAUCGGGAAUGACGGUACCGUGAGAGGAAGCCCCGGCUAACUCCGUGCCAGCAGCCGCGGUAAUACGGGGGGGGCAAGCGUUGUUCGGAAUUACUGGGCGUAAAGGGCUCGUAGGUGGCCUGCUACGUUGGACGUGAAAUCCCUCGGCUCAACCGGGGAACUGCGUCCAAGACUGGCAGGCUUGAAUCCGGGAGAGGGACGUGGAAUUCCAGGUGUAGCGGUGAAAUGCGUAGAUAUCUGGAGGAACACCGGUGGCGAAGGC
RNAcentral lists this ribosomal RNA (718 nucleotides) under uncultured bacterium. Its description in RNAcentral is "bacterial SSU rRNA". It matches the Rfam family "Bacterial small subunit ribosomal RNA", at positions 8 to 722 of the family's 1533-position model. The record is from RNAcentral.